RNAcentral lists this ribosomal RNA (808 nucleotides) under uncultured bacterium. RNAcentral's name for it is "bacterial SSU rRNA". It matches the Rfam family "Bacterial small subunit ribosomal RNA", at positions 743 to 1528 of the family's 1533-position model. The record is from RNAcentral.
CCCCUGAAGGCCCCGAAAGCCUUGGGGGACCCCACACCGGAUUUAGAAACCCCGGGUAGUCCAACCCCGGUAAACCGAUGGAGGCCUAAGUUUAAGGGGUUUCCCGCCCCCUUAAGGCCUGCCAGCCUAACGCAUUAAAGCACUCCGCCUGGGAAGUACGGCCCGCAAGGCCUGAAACUCAAAAGGAAUUGACGGGGGCCCGCACCAACGGUGGAGCAUUGGUUUAAUUCCGAAGCAACGCGAAGAACCUUACCAGGUCUUGACAUCCCACUGACCGGUGUAGAGAUACACCUUUCCCUUCGGGGACAGUGGUGACAGUGGUGCAUGGUUGUCGUCAGCUCGUGUCGUGAGAUGUUGGGUUAAGUCCCGCAACGAGCGCAACCCUUGAUCUUAGUUGCCAGCAUUUAGUUGGGCACUCUAAGGUGACUGCCGGUGACAAACCGGAGGAAGGUGGGGAUGACGUCAAAUCAUCAUGCCCCUUAUGACCUGGGCUACACACGUGCUACAAUGGACGGUACAAAGGGUUGCCAACCCGCGAGGGGGAGCGAAUCCCAGAAAACCGUUCUCAGUUCGGAUUGUAGGCUGCAACUCGCCUGCAUGAAGCCGGAAUCGCUAGUAAUCGUGGAUCAGCAUGCCACGGUGAAUACGUUCCCGGGCCUUGUACACACCGCCCGUCACACCACGAGAGUUUGUAACACCCGAAGUCGGUGAGGUAACCCUUGUGGAGCCAGCCGCCGAAGGUGGGACGGAUCGAUUGGGGUGAAGUCGUAACAAGGUAGCCGUAUCGGAAGGUGCGGCUGGAUCACCU